GCUUGUUGCAAUCUAGGAUUUUGCUGCUCUGCUAUCAUUGUUUUGUUUUGCAUCCUGUUACAGGUCUGAACUCUCCUGUUAAGAAUUUUAAUGCUUUGCCUACCAGCACAGUUGAAGGGCAUAUAGUUUAGAGUCUUCUUGCAGGUGUUGUGACACAUAUAUAGUGUACUUGGGACAGACUCUCCUAUGGCUACCCUCAAGGGGAAAAAACUGCAAAGAAAAAAUGAAGAUAGUGGUAGCAAAAACAAGCUGAAACUGAAAGAACAUAAAAGACAUACUGCUUCAUGACCUUGCAGAAACUUUAAAUGAAGAAAACAAAUCAGGCUGGAGACUCCUCAAAACAAAAAAGUUCUUACCAGAUUUUCACUCAUGCUUGUAAUAAAUAUACGACAGUGUAACAGCUGAACUUAGCCUCUGGUAUUUUAAUAACUUUUGAUGCUUUUUGACCUUGAGGGAAAGGCAUGGGAACUUGAAUACCAAUGGGAUCAGUGUGCCUGUUUGAAGUUAUGUUGUGGAUGCUGCCAAUACCCUUGCUUAAAGAGGCAUUUUUCCAUAAGUGACUGAGAAAGAGAAUGAGCUUGCAUUGAGCUCUCACUAAUGGACUGCAAAACUUUAAUCUUGAGGAGGAAAUUCCUUCAAU
Molecule: long non-coding RNA, 640 nt
Organism: Lagopus muta (rock ptarmigan)
Lineage: Eukaryota; Metazoa; Chordata; Aves; Galliformes; Phasianidae
Exons: 3
Source: RefSeq, a predicted model, not a curated record